Molecule: ribosomal RNA, 744 nt
Filed under: uncultured Hyphomicrobiales bacterium
Lineage: Bacteria; Pseudomonadati; Pseudomonadota; Alphaproteobacteria; Hyphomicrobiales
Description: bacterial SSU rRNA
Rfam family: Bacterial small subunit ribosomal RNA
Source: RNAcentral
AGAGUUUGAUCAUGGCUCAGAGCGAACGCUGGCGGCAGGCCUAACACAUGCAAGUCGAACGGGCCCUUUCGGGGGUCAGUGGCAGACGGGUGAGUAACGCGUGGGAACGUGCCCUUCGGUUCGGAACAACUCCGGGAAACUGGAGCUAAUACCGGAUACGUCCGAGAGGAGAAAGAUUUAUCGCCGAAGGAUCGGCCCGCGUCUGAUUAGCUAGUUGGUGGGGUAAUGGCCCACCAAGGCGACGAUCAGUAGCUGGUCUGAGAGGAUGAUCAGCCACACUGGGACUGAGACACGGCCCAGACUCCUACGGGAGGCAGCAGUGGGGAAUAUUGGACAAUGGGCGCAAGCCUGAUCCAGCCAUGCCGCGUGAGUGAUGAAGGCCCUAGGGUUGUAAAGCUCUUUCACCCACGACGAUAAUGACGGUAGUGGGAGAAGAAGCCCCGGCUAACUUCGUGCCAGCAGCCGCGGUAAUACGAAGGGGGCUAGCGUUGCUCGGAAUCACUGGGCGUAAAGGGCGCGUAGGCGGCCGAUCAAGUCAGGGGUGAAAGCCUGUGGCUCAACCACAGAAUUGCCUUUGAUACUGUUUGGCUGGAGACCGGAAGAGGUUGGUGGAACUGCGAGUGUAGAGGUGAAAUUCGUAGAUAUUCGCAAGAACACCGGUGGCGAAGGCGGCCAACUGGUCCGGUUCUGACGCUGAGGCGCGAAAGCGUGGGGAGCAAACAGGAUUAGAUACCCCGGUAGUCC